This is a long non-coding RNA of Suricata suricatta (meerkat), 824 nucleotides long. RefSeq lists it as uncharacterized. The record is from RefSeq and is a predicted model, not a curated record. Lineage: Eukaryota; Metazoa; Chordata; Mammalia; Carnivora; Herpestidae. The transcript has 5 exons.
AUAUAAAGAAGACAUGUUUCGGUGGCUUUGUAUACAGUAUAUAUUUAUAGUGUGUGUGCACACGUGUGAGCAUGUGUGUACAAACAUGAUCAUGGGCGGGGUAAUAGAGCUGGAGGAAGCCAGAUGUCUCUAACAAUGACAGGGGCCUCUGCAAGGAACAAGAGGAACAGUAGAGAGGAGACAGAUGAGAUUCAUCUGUGAAUUCAUGUAAUAAACAUUGAGCUGCUGCCAGGCACUGGGCAAUGUUUGCUGCACUAGAGAUACAAACAGCGUGCAAAUGAGAACCUUCUGGGAACUUCCAUCCUCCCCUUCCACUGCCCCUGCCCCAUACUUCAGGGAUGGACAAUGACUGAUUGACACAGGGGUACAAAGUUUUGGCCUGCUUACCUCAAGGGGAGAUGGUGCUGGACAACUUACUCCCUAGAGCUCCCCAUGAGAUCAGAACAAGGCCAAAGCUGUUGGGCGCUGGAGACACAAGUGCAAAGUAAAAACACCCCAGCCUCGUGGAACUGAUGACAGACAGACAACAAACAUGUCAACCAGUGUCUGAAACCUCCCCUUAUACCUGGAGGCACCCCGCACUAUGGACCUGCUUUCUCCAGCUAUGAGGUUGUGGGUCCAGAACCAAGCUCCGCCUCUCUGGAAUGCUCCCUGGAGCUCUGUCUCUGGGUGAGGCCACGAAGAGCAAAGAGCACUGAGAUCACAGCCACAGUCCGAGACAGAGGGUGCCAGGAGCGGCAGCGCCCAGCCACAUUCUUGCAGUGGUCAGUCCUGAUCAAUCCCAUAAGUCACCCUUUAAUCUUCUAAUAAAUCCCUCUUCUGCU